This 253-nucleotide ribosomal RNA is filed under the name uncultured bacterium. RNAcentral describes it as "partial 16S ribosomal RNA". It matches the Rfam family "Bacterial small subunit ribosomal RNA", at positions 524 to 776 of the family's 1533-position model. The record is from RNAcentral.
UACAGGGGGUGCAAACGUUGCUCGGAAUCAUUGGGCGUAAAGCGCACGUAGGCGGUUCGUUAUGUCGGAUGUGAAAGCCCUUGGCUUAACCGAGGAAGUGCAUCCGAAACUGGCGAGCUAGAGUACUAAAGAGGAUCGCGGAAUUCUCGGUGUAGAGGUGAAAUUCGUAGAUAUCGGGAGGAACACCGGUGGCGAAGGCGGCGAUCUGGGUAGAUACUGACGCUGAGGUGCGAAAGCGUGGGGAGCAAACAGG